GAUGAAGAACGUAGCGAAAUGCGAUAAGUAAUGUGAAUUGCAGAAUUCAGUGAAUCAUCGAAUCUUUGAACGCACCUUGCGCUCCUUGGUAUUCUGAGGAGCAUGCCUGUUUGAGUGUCAUUAAAUUCUCAACUACACUGACUUUGAAUUGGUGUGGCUUGGAUUUGGGGGGAAAAUUGUUGUGGGCUUUUUGUAUAGUCUGCUCCCCUGAAAUUGAUUAGCGGUACCUUUGUGGAACUGUCUACAGGUGUGAUAAUUAUCUACAUCUUAGACAUCUGCUGGAAUGCUGCUUUCUAAACCUCACUUGUAUUGACAAUCUUGACCUCAAAUCAGGUAGGACUACCCGCUGAACUUAAGCAUAUCAAUAAGCGGAGGA
RNAcentral lists this unclassified non-coding RNA (376 nucleotides) under soil metagenome. Its description in RNAcentral is "partial contains 5.8S ribosomal RNA, internal transcribed spacer 2, and large subunit ribosomal RNA". The stretch from base 1 to 120 matches the Rfam family "5.8S ribosomal RNA", at positions 35 to 154 of the family's 154-position model. The record is from RNAcentral.